UACGUAGGGUGCGAGCGUUAAUCGGAAUUACUGGGCGUAAAGCGUGCGCAGGCGGUUGUGUAAGCCAGACGUGAAAUCCCCGGGCUUAACCUGGGAAUGGCGUUUGGGAAUGCACGGCUGGAGUAUGGCAGAGGGGACUAGAAUUCCUGGUGUAGCAGUGAAAUGCGUAGAUAUCAGGAGGAAUACCGAUGGCGAAGGCAGGUCCCUGGGCUGAUACUGACGCUCAUGCACGAAAGAGUGGGGAGCAAACAGG
Molecule: ribosomal RNA, 253 nt
Filed under: uncultured bacterium
Lineage: Bacteria
Description: partial 16S ribosomal RNA
Rfam family: Bacterial small subunit ribosomal RNA
Source: RNAcentral